RNAcentral lists this ribosomal RNA (467 nucleotides) under uncultured bacterium. RNAcentral describes it as "partial 16S ribosomal RNA". It matches the Rfam family "Bacterial small subunit ribosomal RNA", at positions 28 to 507 of the family's 1533-position model. The record is from RNAcentral.
GACGAACGCUGGCGGCGUGCUUAACACAUGCAAGUCGAACGGAAAGGCCUCUUUCGGGGGGUACUCGAGUGGCGAACGGGUGAGUAACACGUGAGUAACCUGCCCUUGACUUUGGGAUAACUUCAGGAAACUGGGGCUAAUACCGGAUAGGAGCUCCUGCUGCAUGGUGGGGGUUGGAAAGUUUCGGCGGUUGGGGAUGGACUCGCGGCUUAUCAGCUUGUUGGUGGGGUAGUGGCUUACCAAGGCUUUGACGGGUAGCCGGCCUGAGAGGGUGACCGGCCACAUUGGGACUGAGAUACGGCCCAGACUCCUACGGGAGGCAGCAGGGGGGAAUAUUGCACAAUGGGUGGAAGCCUGAUGCAGCAACGCCGUGGGCGGGAUGCCGGCCUUCGGGUUGUAAACCGCUUUCGCUCAUGACGAAGCUUUGUGUGACGGUAGUGGGUAAAGAAGCACCGGCUAACUACGUG